UACGUAGGGUGCAAGCGUUGUCCGGAAUUAUUGGGCGUAAAGAGCUCGUAGGCGGCUCAGUAAGUCGGGUGUGAAACCCUCAGGCUCAACCUGGGGACGCCACUCGAUACUGCUGUGGCUAGAGUCCAGUAGAGGAGUGUGGAAUUCCCGGUGUAGCGGUGAAAUGCGCAGAUAUCGGGAGGAACACCAACGGCGAAGGCAGCACUCUGGGCUGGAACUGACGCUGAGGAGCGAAAGCGUGGGUAGCAAACAGG
RNAcentral lists this ribosomal RNA (254 nucleotides) under uncultured bacterium. RNAcentral describes it as "partial 16S ribosomal RNA". It matches the Rfam family "Bacterial small subunit ribosomal RNA", at positions 524 to 776 of the family's 1533-position model. The record is from RNAcentral.